GAUGAACGCUGGCGGCGUGCCUAAUACAUGCAAGUCGAGCGAACAGACGAGGAGCUUGCUCCUUUGACGUUAGCGGCGGACGGGUGAGUAACACGUGGGUAACCUACCUAUAAGACUGGGAUAACUUCGGGAAACCGGAGCUAAUACCGGAUAAUAUUUCGAACCGCAUGGUUCGAUAGUGAAAGAUGGCUUUGCUAUCACUUAUAGAUGGACCUGCGCCGUAUUAGCUAGUUGGUAAGGUAACGGCUUACCAAGGCAGCGAUACGUAGCCGACCUGAGAGGGUGAUCGGCCACACUGGAACUGAGACACGGUCCAGACUCCUACGGGAGGCAGCAGUAGGGAAUCUUCCGCAAUGGGCGAAAGCCUGACGGAGCAACGCCGCGUGAGUGAUGAAGGUCUUCGGAUCGUAAAACUCUGUUAUUAGGGAAGAACAAACGUGUAAGUAACUGUGCACGUCUUGACGGUACCUAAUCAGAAAGCCACGGCUAACUACGUG
RNAcentral lists this ribosomal RNA (497 nucleotides) under uncultured bacterium. RNAcentral describes it as "partial 16S ribosomal RNA". It matches the Rfam family "Bacterial small subunit ribosomal RNA", at positions 28 to 507 of the family's 1533-position model. The record is from RNAcentral.